GUAAGGAAUAUUGGUCAAUGGACGAAAGUCUGAACCAGCCAUGCCGCGUGGAGGAUGAAGGUCCUCUGGAUUGUAAACUUCUUUUAUAUGGGACGAAAAUGGGGCUUUCUAGCUCAACUGACGGUACCAUAUGAAUAAGCACCGGCUAACUCCGUGCCAGCAGCCGCGGUAAUACGGAGGGUGCAAGCGUUAUCCGGAUUCACUGGUUUUAAAGGGUGCGUAGGUGGAUUGGUAAGUCAGAGGUGAAAUCUCCGAGCUCAACUCGGGAACUGCCUUUGAUACGAUCAAUCUUGAAUACGGAGGAGGUUAGCGGAAGAGGUCAUGUAGCGGUGAAAUGCUUAGAUAUGACAUAGAACACCAAUUGCGAAGGCAGCUGGCUACACAUAUAUUGACACUGAGGCACGAAAGCGUGGGGAUCAAACAGGAUUAGAAACCCCAGUAGUCC
This 445-nucleotide ribosomal RNA is filed under the name uncultured bacterium. RNAcentral's name for it is "partial 16S ribosomal RNA". It matches the Rfam family "Bacterial small subunit ribosomal RNA", at positions 354 to 796 of the family's 1533-position model. The record is from RNAcentral.